AUGGCAGAAAAAACCCUGCAAACCAUGGAUUCAGUGACAGGAGCAGUGACUCCACUUAACUUUGUACCUGGCAGAUUCACACAUUUUACAUGUGACAACAUUGACAUAAAUGAUUCAACCCUUGAUGGCAAGAACACCUUCCAUGCUACACAGAUGGCAGCAUGGCAACGUGGUCCAGAAGGUGACAUGAUGAUGAAGAAUUUGAGACCAUCAAAAACGGAAAGCCUUCAGGUCCCUGAGGGGAAUGAGAUGCUUUUUCCAGCUGGAGUUAGAGAAAGUAAAGCCUGUCCAAAAUCAACAGAAAAUACAAAGAAGGAGUGGUUCAAAAAAUCAGAUGAGAAUGGAUCAAUUGCAAAAGCAACUGUCAUAGACAUGGCAUUCUUUUUCAAGCGUCAGGAUGAAGGAGACAUGAAGCAAGGCUGGACAACCUUUAACCAAAAUCACAGUGAAAGGUCACCUGAAAUGACAAGCAUUGGUUACAUGCCCAUUAUCCAGGCACCUGCUCAUGACCUAGAUACACUGAAAACUGUUGUGCUGAGAUGUAAACAUGUGGCCAGAAAACUAGGGCAGCAUCAUGUUGUUAUCACAGUGGAUGAAGCAUUGUUCUGUAAAUUGAUGGAGUUGAAGUGGGCAAAUGAUGACUAUCUGGAUUGCCUUGUUGUCAGAUUAGGUGGCCUGCACAUUGCCCUAAAAUUCAUGGAAGUCAUCGUUAAGCACGUCCAAUCAUCUGGAUUGUUGGAAGCAUGGGUUGAAGGCAACCUACUAGGCCCCAAAACUGCAGAGCAAACUAUGGCAGGGAAGUCUUACAACAAAGGAAUUAGAGCCCACAAAAUCACUCUGCAGGCCAUGUGGAGGAUUCUGUUGCCUCAGCUGCUUAGCUUUCUGGAAGACAGGAAUCGUGAUCUUAACGAUCUACUGGAUAAGACAAAGAACAGCCCUGUAGAAGAUCUUGUGACAUUGCUUGCUUCUGAAGAAUUUCAAGCAGUCACAGAGGCCUACAUUAAAGCCAACAACAACCCAAACUUCAUGUUUUGGUGGGGCUACAUGAAGAUGGUUCACAUUCUUCUAUUUUUCAUUCGCGCACAGAGGGACAGAAUCUGGGACCUGUACCUUUGUGCAUUCCAGCAAAUGUUGCCCUAUUUCAUGCGGUAUAACCACAUCAACUUUGCUCGGUGGGGGACCAUCUACGUGAAUGAGAUGCACCAACUUCCACAGCCUGUGAAGAAGGAGUUUGAGGCUGGAAACUUUGUAGUCCUGAUCAUAGUCAGGAGUGGCUAG
This is a long non-coding RNA of Cyprinus carpio carpio, 1278 nucleotides long. The record is from Ensembl. NCBI's taxonomy places the organism in Eukaryota, Metazoa, Chordata, Actinopteri, Cypriniformes, Cyprinidae.